This 457-nucleotide ribosomal RNA is filed under the name uncultured bacterium. RNAcentral's name for it is "partial 16S ribosomal RNA". It matches the Rfam family "Bacterial small subunit ribosomal RNA", at positions 338 to 795 of the family's 1533-position model. The record is from RNAcentral.
CCUACGGGUGACAGCAGUGGGGAAUAUUGCACAAUGGGGGAAACCCUGAUGCAGCGACGCCGCGUGAGUGAAGAAGUAAUUCGUUACGUAAAGCUCUAUCAGCAGGGAAGAAAUACUUACCUUACGGUCAGCAGACGGUACCUGAGUAAGAAGCCCCGGCUAACUACGUGCCAGCAGCCGCGGUAAUACGUAGGGGGCAAGCGUUAUCCGGAUUUACUGGGUGUAAAGGGAGCGUAGACGGUAAUGCAAGUCUGGAGGGAAAGGCGGGGGCCCAACCCCCGCACUGCGCUGGAAACUGUGUAACUGGAGUGGAGGAGAGGCAGGCGGAAUUCCGAGUGUAGCGGUGAAAGGCGUAGAUAUUAGGAGGAACACCAGUGGCGAAGGCGGCCUGCUGGACUGUAACUGACGUUGAGGCUCGAAAGCGUGGGGAGCAAACAGGAUUAGAUACCCCUGAGUC